RNAcentral lists this ribosomal RNA (817 nucleotides) under uncultured Campylobacterota bacterium. Its description in RNAcentral is "bacterial SSU rRNA". It matches the Rfam family "Bacterial small subunit ribosomal RNA", at positions 547 to 1368 of the family's 1533-position model. The record is from RNAcentral. Lineage: Bacteria; Pseudomonadati; Campylobacterota.
AUCCUGGGCGUAAAGCGCGCGCAGGCGGCUAUUUAAGUUGGAUGUGAAAGCCUACGGCUCAACCGUAGAACUGCAUCCAAAACUAUUUAGCUAGAGUGUGGGAGAGGAAGAUGGAAUUAGUUGUGUAGGGGUAAAAUCCGUAGAGAUAACUAGGAAUACCAAAAGCGAAGGCAAUCUUCUGGAACACUACUGACGCUGAGGCGCGAAGGCGUGGGGAGCAAACAGGAUUAGAUACCCUGGUAGUCCACGCAGUAAACGAUGAAUGUUAGUCGUCGGGUAGCUAGUCUAUUCGGUGAUGCAGCUAACGCAUUAAACAUUCCGCCUGGGGAGUACGGUCGCAAGAUUAAAACUCAAAGGAAUAGACGGGGACCCGCACAAGUGGUGGAGCAUGUGGUUUAAUUCGAAGAUACGCGAAGAACCUUACCUAGCCUUGACAUAUAUUAGAACAGACCAGAGAUGGACUGGUGCCUUCGGGAGCUUUUAUACAGGUGCUGCACGGCUGUCGUCAGCUCGUGUCGUGAGAUGUUGGGUUAAGUCCCGCAACGAGCGCAACCCUCGUCACUAGUUACUAACGGUUCGGCCGAGGACUCUAGUGAGACUGCCUUCGCAAGGAGGAGGAAGGUGAGGACGACGUCAAGUCAUCAUGGCCCUUACGGCUAGGGCAACACACGUGCUACAAUGGCCAGGACAAUGAGACGCGAUACCGCGAGGUGGAGCAAAUCUAUAAACCUGGUCUCAGUUCGGAUUGUAGUCUGCAACUCGACUACAUGAAGCUGGAAUCACUAGUAAUCGUAGAUCAGCUAUGCUACGGUGAAUA